GAUGAACGCUGGCGGCGUGCCUAAUACAUGCAAGUCGAGCGAACUUUUGGUAACUUGCUCCCAAUAGUUAGCGGCGGACGGGGGAGUAACACGUGGGUAACCUGCCUGUAAGACUGGGAUAACUUCGGGAAACCGGAGCUAAUACCGGAUAACAUUGAAGCCCACAUGGCCUGCAAUUAAAAGGUGGCUUUUAGCUGCCACUUACAGAUGGACCCGCGGCGCAUUAGCUAGUUGGUGAGGUAACGGCUCACCAAGGCGACGAUGCGUAGCCGACCGGAGAGGGUGAUCAGCCACACGGGAACGAGGACACGGUCCAGACUCCUACGGUCGGCCACAGUGGGGAAUAUUGGACAAUGGGCGCAAGCCUGAUCCAGCCAUACCGCGUGGGGGAAGAAGGCCUUCGGGUUGUAAAGCCCUUUUGUUGGGAAAGAAAAGCACCCGGUUAAUACCCCGCUAUUCUGACGGUACCCAAAGAAUAAGCACCGGCUAACUUCGUG
Molecule: ribosomal RNA, 497 nt
Filed under: uncultured bacterium
Lineage: Bacteria
Description: partial 16S ribosomal RNA
Rfam family: Bacterial small subunit ribosomal RNA
Source: RNAcentral